GACGAACGCUGGCGGCGUGCUUAACACAUGCAAGUCGUACGGUAAGGCCCUUUCGGGGGUACACGAGUGGCGAACGGGUGAGUAACACGUGAGUAACCUGCCCACAACUUUGGGAUAACGCUAGGAAACUGGUGCUAAUACUGGAUAUGUGCUCCUGCUGCAUGGUGGGGGUUGGAAAGCUCCGGCGGUUGUGGAUGGACUCGCGGCCUAUCAGCUUGUUGGUGGGGUAGUGGCCUACCAAGGCGGCGACGGGUAGCCGGCCUGAGAGGGUGACCGGCCACCAUGGGGCUGAGGUAAGGCCCAGGCUCCUACGGGGGGCAACCGGGGGGAAUAUUGCACAAUGGGCGCAAGCCUGAUGCAGCAACGCCGCGUGCGGGAUGACGGCCUUCGGGUUGUAAACCGCUUUCAGCAGGGACGAAGCUUUUUGUGACGGUACCUGCAGAAGAAGCACCGGCUAACUACGUG
This 465-nucleotide ribosomal RNA is filed under the name uncultured bacterium. RNAcentral describes it as "partial 16S ribosomal RNA". It matches the Rfam family "Bacterial small subunit ribosomal RNA", at positions 28 to 507 of the family's 1533-position model. The record is from RNAcentral.